AUUCUUUUAUAAAGACUUGUUGCCUCUCUUUCAAGCUCUAUUGUGAUUUCUGCAUGUGCAAGUUGUAUAUUUUACUUUACCACCAGAUACCUCUGGCAAAGCAGAUGAAGACUCCAGCCUGAGAACUCCUCCAGAUGAGGAGAACCCGAUCAUAUCGGUAAACUAAUAAAAUGACUGAGUGUAGACAAUCUGAGAAUUUAAAGCCGGAGUAGGGUAGAUCUCAGUCUCUGGAACCCUAUAUCACAAGACACAGAAAUGUCUUAAACUGUAAGUGGAAGGUGUAAAUAUCUGAAAAGGGAAGUGGCUGCCCAGCUCCCCGCGAUCAGGCUGCGGCAGAGGUACCCUGAAGCUCUGGGGCUGCGCUGCCAUCUGCUGGGGAGAAGCCAGAGCUUGGAAGAAGCACCGAGAAAUCUCACCGUCCAAUAGUGGGUUGCUUUUGCUAAUCUAAUUCUAUUAAAAUUGUUAAUUGCAGGAAAAUAUAAAUGACUGUUUUUUACUUGAAAGCAAAAUUCAGAAGAAAAAUUUAUUUCCUUUCCACAAGUACACAUUGAGAAAGAUUAGGCAGACUUCUUGGAAAUG
This 579-nucleotide long non-coding RNA is filed under the name Anas platyrhynchos platyrhynchos (common mallard). RNAcentral's name for it is "lncRNA (ENSAPLG00000018942.1)". The record is from RNAcentral. Lineage: Eukaryota; Metazoa; Chordata; Aves; Anseriformes; Anatidae.